RNAcentral lists this ribosomal RNA (301 nucleotides) under uncultured bacterium. Its description in RNAcentral is "partial 16S ribosomal RNA". It matches the Rfam family "Bacterial small subunit ribosomal RNA", at positions 509 to 809 of the family's 1533-position model. The record is from RNAcentral.
CAGUAGCCGCGGGAAUACGUAGGUGGCAAGCGUUGUCCGGAAUUAUUGGGCGUAAAGGGCUCGCAGGCGGUUUCUUAAGUCUGAUGUGAAAGCCCCCGGCUCAACCGGGGAGGGUCAUUGGAAACUGGGAAACUUGAGUGCAGAAGAGGAGAGUGGAAUUCCACGUGUAGCGGUGAGAUGCGUAGAGAUGUGGAGGAACACCAGUGGCGAAGGCGACUCUCUGGUCUGUAACUGACGCUGAGGAGCGAAAGCGUGGGGAGCGAACAGGAUUAGAUACCCCCGUAGUCCCUGUCUCUUAUAA